Molecule: transfer RNA, 107 nt
Filed under: Pseudolabrys sp. Root1462
Lineage: Bacteria; Pseudomonadati; Pseudomonadota; Alphaproteobacteria; Hyphomicrobiales; Xanthobacteraceae
Rfam family: tRNA
About the family: Transfer RNA (tRNA) molecules are approximately 80 nucleotides in length. Their secondary structure includes four short double-helical elements and three loops (D, anti-codon, and T loops). Further hydrogen bonds mediate the characteristic L-shaped molecular structure. tRNAs have two regions of fundamental functional importance: the anti-codon, which is responsible for specific mRNA codon recognition, and the 3' end, to which the tRNAs corresponding amino acid is attached (by aminoacyl-tRNA synthetases). tRNAs cope with the degeneracy of the genetic code in two manners: having more than one tRNA (with a specific anti-codon) for a particular amino acid; and 'wobble' base-pairing, i.e. permitting non-standard base-pairing at the 3rd anti-codon position.
Source: Rfam by way of RNAcentral
UGCGGCGUAGCUCAACUGGAUAGAGCGCCUGCUUUCUACCGAUUCUCAUCCUCGACAAGGGAGAAUUUAGGGGCAGGAGAAUGUGGGUUCAAGUCCCGCCGCCGCGC